This 807-nucleotide long non-coding RNA is filed under the name Brassica napus (rape). RNAcentral's name for it is "long non-coding RNA (BNAP_LNC016358)". Lineage: Eukaryota; Viridiplantae; Streptophyta; Magnoliopsida; Brassicales; Brassicaceae. The record is from RNAcentral.
UUUAGUAUGAUCCGGAUAUGAUUUGGAAAGAUCUGACGUUUCUUUUUGUUGACUUGGUAAGAUCUGACUUUGAAGAUUGGAGAUGGAAAUGGAAUGAAAAUAUACGAAUCGGACGGCAGUCUAAUAUAAUAUUUCAGACAGUCAUGUUUUGUGCUAAUUAUCUAUAACAGUAUUUCACGUGAGUUCCACUUGACAUAUUAUUUUAUUUAUUGUACAUAGUAAAAAUGGAAAGAUCACUUAAAACAUUCCGAGUUCCCCGUCACUUUUUUAUUACGAACGAAUAUUUUAUUACUCAAACUUGAAAUAGUUUGGUUAACUAGACCGGAAUAUAACAACCAAUAUAACAAAGCUCUCUCGCAAUCUUUGCUAAAGAAUCCGAAAUUCCAUUAUGUGUUCUUGGGAUAUGAAAUAUCUCAAAGUCUGAAAACAUAUCUGCAUCGUUCUAAUAACCUCAAAUUCUAUUACAAAACUUGGUCAAGCUUGAAGCUUGAAACUCUUUUAUCAUCGCGAUCAGAUCUUUGCAGUCUGUUCUAAAAUACUGACAUGACGAAUAUUGUAGAAUCUUCUCCAUUGUCCAUCGCAGUGUUUCAUGGCGAUCAGAUCUUUGCAAUUUGUCCCAAAACACCAUGUAGAUAUUAUCCAGAUUUACGAUCAGGAGUUCCUCGUUACUACGCUCUUGUGGAGCGGGAAUGACCACUCAUUUUUAUUAAACUUGACAUUGACGUAUAUUAUAUACUUUCAAUCCUCAAAAUAAAAUAUAUUAUAUACUUUCCAAAUAACAAACCGACCAUCGUAUGAUUCGUAUCA